This is a non-coding RNA of Microcebus murinus (gray mouse lemur), 398 nucleotides long. NCBI's taxonomy places the organism in Eukaryota, Metazoa, Chordata, Mammalia, Primates, Cheirogaleidae. The record is from RefSeq and is a predicted model, not a curated record.
UGUGACAGUUUAACAGUUUUAUUUCCCAGCCUCCUUUGAAGCUAGAAGCGGCCAUGUGAUAUGAAUAUGGUCUUAUCACCAAUAAGUUGAUGUGGAACUCCCUUUCUGUAUUGAAUUGACUAAUGGCCCUCAGAAGAUUUGCCCACAUUCAAAUCCCUGACACCUGUGAAUGUUACCAUAUUUGGAAAAAAAGAUCAUUACAGAAGUAAUUAGAUUAAGGAUCUUGAGAUGACAGCAUCAUGGAUUAUCCAGAUGAGGAAGGAAAUCAAGGCACAGACAAGUUAAGAAAUUUUCCCAGAACGAUGCAACCAGUGAGAGAUUCAUAAUGUAAGCCUAAGAGACUGCCUUCAACAACCAUGUUCUUGACAACCAUGCUAUGAAGAAUGUGUCAUGCUGAC